CGUACAACAGGAGGUCGGUAGCCGGACGGCGGGCGGGACUGCUGUAGGCCGAGACGUUGCGGGGAGGGGCCGACGGCGAGACAGGGGGGCGCGGGUGGAGGUGCUGCGUGCUGCGAGGAGGUGCGGGGAGAGGAGGGGUAGGACGGCGGUGGCCGGAAUCAAGACGACGGCGACGGAGACGUGCGGGUCGUUGGUGGGUGGCGAGGGGGUGAGCGGCGGCAGGCCGGUGAGAGGGGGAGAGAGGAAGUGGAGGAGGAUGGAGGGGAAGAUAUGUCGCGUGGCCGCGUGGGGAUGGAGGCGUGUGCGUGUGCUGUGACGAGGAGGAGAGGAGAGGAGGGCGGCGGCGGCUGUCCAGGGAGGGAGUUCGUGUUCUUU
Molecule: ribosomal RNA, 375 nt
Filed under: Triticum aestivum (bread wheat)
Lineage: Eukaryota; Viridiplantae; Streptophyta; Magnoliopsida; Poales; Poaceae
Description: partial small subunit ribosomal RNA
Source: RNAcentral